UACACAUGCAAGUCGAACGGCAGCACGGGAGCAAUCCUGGUGGCGAGUGGCGAACGGGUGAGUAAUAUAUCGGAACGUGCCCAGUCGUGGGGGAUAACGCAGCGAAAGCUGUGCUAAUACCGCAUACGAUCUAUGGAUGAAAGCGGGGGAUCGCAAGACCUCGCGCGAUUGGAGCGGCCGAUAUCAGAUUAGCUAGUUGGUGGGGUAAAAGCCCACCAAGGCGACGAUCUGUAGCUGGUCUGAGAGGACGACCAGCCACACUGGAACUGAGACACGGUCCAGACUCCUACGGGAGGCAGCAGUGGGGAAUUUUGGACAAUGGGCGAAAGCCUGAUCCAGCAAUGCCGCGUGCAGGACGAAGGCCUUCGGGUUGUAAACUGCUUUUGUACGGAACGAAACGGUCUCUUUUAAUAAAGGGGGCUAAUGACGGUACCGUAAGAAUAAGCACCGGCUAACUACGUGCCAGCAGCCGCGGUAAUACGUAGGGUGCGAGCGUUAAUCGGAAUUACUGGGCGUAAAGCGUGCGCAGGCGGUUAUAUAAGACAGAUGUGAAAUCCCCGGGCUCAACCUGGGACCUGCAUUUGUGACUGUAUAGCUAGAGUACGGUAGAGGGGGAUGGAAUUCCGCGUGUAGCAAUGAAAUGCGUANAUAUGCGGAGGAACACCGAUGGCGAAGGCAAUCCCCUGGGACCUGUCUUGACGCUUAUGCACNAAAACCUGGGGAGCAAACAGGAUUANAUCCCUGGNANUCCACNCCCUAAACNAUGUCAACUGGGUUGUUGGGU
RNAcentral lists this ribosomal RNA (784 nucleotides) under uncultured bacterium SY6-75. Its description in RNAcentral is "bacterial SSU rRNA". It matches the Rfam family "Bacterial small subunit ribosomal RNA", at positions 50 to 829 of the family's 1533-position model. The record is from RNAcentral.